GGCUCAGAACGAACGCUGGCGGCAGGCUUAACACAUGCAAGUCGAACGCCCCGCAAGGGGAGUGGCAGACGGGUGAGUAACACGUGGGAACAUGCCCAAAGGUACGGAACAACUCCGGGAAACUGGAGCUAAUACCGUAUGUGUCCGCAAGGAGAAAGAUUUAUCGCCUUUGGAUUGGCCCGCGUCGGAUUAGCUAGUUGGUGGGGUAAAAGCCUACCAAGGCGACGAUCCGUAGCUGGUUUGAGAGAACGACCAGCCACACUGGGACUGAGACACGGCCCAGACUCCUACGGGAGGCAGCAGUGGGGAAUCUUGGACAAUGGGCGCAAGCCUGAUCCAGCCAUGCCGCGUGGAUGAUGAGGGCCUUAGGGUUGUAAAAUCCUUUCGUUGGGGACGAUAAUGACGGUACCCAAAGAAGAAGCUCCGGCUAACUUCGUGCCAGCAGCCGCGGUAAUACGAAGGGGGCUAGCGUUGUUCGGAUUUACUGGGCGUAAAGCGCGUGUAGGCGGGCUGGAAAGUUGGGGGUGAAAUCCCGAGGCUCAACCUCGGAACUGCCUCCAAAACUUCCAGCCUGGACUCAAGCAGAGGCAAGUGGAAUUGCGAGUGUAGAGGUGAAAUUCGUAGAUAUUCGCAGGAACACCAGUGGCGAA
RNAcentral lists this ribosomal RNA (650 nucleotides) under uncultured bacterium. RNAcentral's name for it is "bacterial SSU rRNA". It matches the Rfam family "Bacterial small subunit ribosomal RNA", at positions 21 to 719 of the family's 1533-position model. The record is from RNAcentral.